GACGAACGCUGGCGGCGUGCUUAACACAUGCAAGUCGAACGGAAAGGCCCCUUUGGGGGUACUCGAGUGGCGCACGGGUGAGUAACACGUGAGUAACCUGCCCUUGACUUCGGGAUAACUUCAGGAAACUGGGGCUAAUACCGGAUAGGAAUCCUUGCUGCAUGGUGGGGGUUGGAAAGCUUCGGCGGUUUUGGAUGGACUCGCGGCUUAUCAGCUUGUUGGUGGGGUAGUGGCUUACCAAGGCUUUGACGGGUAGCCGGCCUGAGAGGGCGACCGGCCACAUUGGACUGAGAUACGGCCCAGACUCCUACGGGAGGCAGCAGUGGGGAAUAUUGCACAAGGGGCGGAAGCCUGAUGCAGCAACGCCGCGUGCGGGAGGACGGCCUUCGGGUUGGAAACCGCUUUCAGCAGGGGCGAAGCUUGUGGUGACGGUACCUGCAGAAGAAGCACCGGCUAACUACGUG
Molecule: ribosomal RNA, 464 nt
Filed under: uncultured bacterium
Lineage: Bacteria
Description: partial 16S ribosomal RNA
Rfam family: Bacterial small subunit ribosomal RNA
Source: RNAcentral